AACAGUGCUACCAUAAAUAUUCAGUAUUAUAAUUCAGAGACAAUGUGUUGUGAAGAGCUGUUUUUUCAUUGACUUGAAGAGGUAAAUGUUGCAUGUUCAAUAAAUACUCUACUGAAUAUGAAAAUGAAACCUUGCAUUAAAUCAAGUAGCUUAUAGUUUUAAAAAAAAAUUUGUGAAAGAAUAAUUUUUUUAACUUUACUUUGAUUUGGAAGAAACCAUAUUACUUUAGAAGGAAAAUGCGUGUAUUUUGAAUUAACAUUUUGCAAAGUUCAGUACAUUACCAAAACACCAUAAGUGGCUCUUAGUAAUCACAAAUUUCACUGGAAGGGACACGGGUGGCUAGGGCCACAGUCCUGGCCUCCUCAGCUUGUGGGCCAGGGCUGUGUUCAACCAGCCCUUCAGUGCCUCCCGCUGAGUGGCAGCUCAGACUUCCUGGAGCCACUGCCAGCCUUCCCUGGCAAGGCCUCCCCACUAGGGGCCGACAGUGCUGGCUGUCCCCAUGGCCAAGACCCUGUGUAGUCCCAGGCAGCCGUGGCUGGAGCACACAACAUGUUUUUGUUCACUGCAGAAAGAACCACAAGCAAGAGGAAGAGAUGGUGAUUGUCCACUAAAAAAAGGCUAACUGAAGCAGAGCCCUAUGCUGGUUCUAAUGACUAGAUUAUUUUUGCACAUCAAGAUGGAGAGGGUCAUGUAGUAGAUCUCUGCACUAGUGGCCUUUUUGUACCUGCAAUGUAAGAUGUUAUAUGUGAAAAAAUGGAGCAGAUGAUGGGAGAACAACUGUGAAAUUGCCAGAAGGGAGCUUUAGAUUAAGGACAGGAUAACUGACAAAGAUGAAGUUGAAGCUGACAGAAAUGUUAACCAUCUCCCCAGUCUUGCCCUUUCUGAUAUCAUGAAAACAGAUUUGGAGAAUAAUUUGAUGAGUUGUUAACAAAGAAAAUAAUUGAGUCCAUGA
Sapajus apella (tufted capuchin) is the source of this 952-nucleotide long non-coding RNA. RefSeq lists it as uncharacterized. The record is from RefSeq and is a predicted model, not a curated record. The transcript has 2 exons. NCBI's taxonomy places the organism in Eukaryota, Metazoa, Chordata, Mammalia, Primates, Cebidae.